AUUGACCGCUGGCGGCCUGCUUAACACAUGCAAGUCGCGCGCGCGGCGCACGGGUGAGUCAUGUCUGUGAACCUGCCUGCUGGAGGGGGCUACCUCCUGGAACCGGUUGCUAAUACCGCAUACCUUCAGCUGUACCCAGAUGGGAUUAGCUAGUAGGUGGGGUAAUGGAUCACCUAGGCGCCGAUCCCUAGCUGGUCUGAGAGGAUAACCAGCCAGACUGGAACGGAGACACGGUCAAGACUCCUACGGGAGGCAGCAGUGGGGAAUAUUGCGCAAUGGGCGCAAGCCUGAUGCAGCAAGGCCGCGUGUGUGAAGAAGGCCUUCGGGUUGUAAAGCACGUUCAGCGAGGAGGCGUUACUCGCAGAAGAAGCACCGGCUAACUCCGGGCCAGCCGCCGCGGUAAUAC
This 406-nucleotide ribosomal RNA is filed under the name uncultured bacterium. RNAcentral describes it as "partial 16S ribosomal RNA". It matches the Rfam family "Bacterial small subunit ribosomal RNA", at positions 30 to 526 of the family's 1533-position model. The record is from RNAcentral.